UCUAUUGAAGGUAAAAUAGUCUGACCUGCCCACUGAUUAGUAGAUUUAAGGGCCGCAGUAUUAUGACUGUGCAAAGGUAGCAUAAUCAUUAGGUUUUUAAAUGGAAUCUUGUAUGAAUGGUCGAACAAAGGAGAGACUAUCUUAGAUUUAGUUUUGAAUUUUACUUUUAAGUGAAAAGGCUUAAAUAUAUUAGAGGGACGAUAAGACCCUAUAAAGCUUAACAUACAAACUAUAUUUAGCUAAAUUUUAAAUAUAAAAGUUUAAUAUAGUUUUUUGUUUUGUUGGGGAGACAGGAGUAGAAAUAAUUGUAGCUGCUUUAUUGAGAACCAAUUAUUGAUGAAAAAUUAAUUGAUCCUAAAUAUAGAUUAAAAGUGUAAGUUACUUUAGGGAUAACAGUAUAAUUCUUUUUGAGAGUUCAUAUCGAAAAAAGAGUUUGUAACCUCGAUGUUGAAUUAAAAUGUCUUUAUAAUGUAGCUGUUAUACGAGAAGGUCUGUUCGACCUUUAAUUU
This 509-nucleotide ribosomal RNA is filed under the name Austrothelphusa sp. SK-2008. RNAcentral's name for it is "partial 16S ribosomal RNA". It matches the Rfam family "Bacterial large subunit ribosomal RNA", at positions 1833 to 2595 of the family's 2925-position model. Lineage: Eukaryota; Metazoa; Arthropoda; Malacostraca; Decapoda; Parathelphusidae. The record is from RNAcentral.